Molecule: ribosomal RNA, 376 nt
Filed under: uncultured bacterium
Lineage: Bacteria
Description: bacterial SSU rRNA
Rfam family: Bacterial small subunit ribosomal RNA
Source: RNAcentral
UACGUAGGGGGCGAGCGUUGUCCGGAAUGACUGGGCGUAAAGGGCGUGUAGGCGGUUUUUUAAGUCUGGAGUGAAAGUCCUGCAUUCAAUGUGGGAAUUGCUUUGGAUACUGGACGACUUGAGUGCGGAAGAGGUAAGUGGAAUUCCAAGUGUAGCGGUGAAAUGCGUAGAGAUUGGGAGGAACACCAGUGGCGAAGGCGACUUACUGGGCCGUAACUGACGCUGAGGCGCGCAAGCGUGGGGAGCGAACAGGAUUAGAUACCCUGGUAGUCCACGCGGUAAACGAUGAAUGCCAGGUGUUGCGGGUAUCGACCCCUGCAGUGCCGGAGUAAACACAAUAAGCAUUCCGCCUGGGGAGUACGGCCGCAAGGUUGAA